AUCUACGGCCACACCAGCCUGAAAACACCUGGUCUCGGAAGCUAAGCAGGGGCGGACCUGGUUAGUACUUGGAUGAGAGGACUGCGUUCACAACUACUGCCAUCUCUUCUCUCGUGCCCUUUGUUCUUGUGCAUU
Ribosomal RNA from Capra hircus (goat), 135 nucleotides. The record is from Ensembl. Lineage: Eukaryota; Metazoa; Chordata; Mammalia; Artiodactyla; Bovidae.